UACGUAGGGACCAAGCGUUGUUCGGAUUUACUGGGCGUAAAGGGCGCGUAGGCGGCGUGUUAAGUCAGCUGUGAAAUCUCCAAGCUUAACUUGGAACGGUCAGCUGAUACUGAUGUGCUAGAGUGCAGAAGGGGCAAUCGGAAUUCUUGGUGUAGCGGUGAAAUGCGUAGAUAUCAAGAGGAACACCUGAGGUGAAGACGGGUCUCUGGGCCGAUACUGACGCUGAGGAGCGAAAGCGUGGGGAGCGAACAGG
RNAcentral lists this ribosomal RNA (253 nucleotides) under uncultured bacterium. Its description in RNAcentral is "partial 16S ribosomal RNA". It matches the Rfam family "Bacterial small subunit ribosomal RNA", at positions 524 to 776 of the family's 1533-position model. The record is from RNAcentral.